GGGAAUGCAACGGUUUCGACGGGGUGAAAGAGGAUUAAAACUGCAUGCUGUGUUCUCCGCAGACACAUUAAACGGCGGAACAAUCAUAAUUGGCGAUAAUAACAAUUACGCUUUAGCUGCUUAAUAAAAUAAUCAGCUUCAUCUUACCCACGUCUCCGCCUAUUGGAUAGGGAUAAGGUGUCAAAAUAGAUAGGCUGGCUUAAGUGAGUGUCCGGUAACUUAAGCAAGAUAAACGGACUGGCAAUGCGGCGGUUCGCCUGCCGGGCAAAGCAUUGUAAGAUUCAAUGGCAGGAUAUUCAUGUAGAGGUUUUAAUUGGCUUCACUUCGGACCCGAGUUCGACUCUCGGCAUUUCCACUA
This 358-nucleotide transfer-messenger RNA is filed under the name Ignavibacteria. RNAcentral describes it as "JAEYVS01 sp020635255 Standard tmRNA". It matches the Rfam family "transfer-messenger RNA". From Rfam's summary of the family: Bacterial tmRNA, also known as 10Sa RNA or SsrA, is named for its dual tRNA and mRNA-like properties. Its role is to liberate the mRNA from a stalled ribosome. To accomplish this part of the tmRNA is used as a reading frame that ends in a translation stop signal. Lineage: Bacteria; Pseudomonadati; Ignavibacteriota. The record is from RNAcentral. RNAcentral also lists the same sequence under 2 other names.